GCGUGCAGGCGGCCACCGCAAGUUGAAUGUGAAAUCCCCGGGCUUAACCCGGGAAGUGCGUUCAAGACUGCGGGGCUUGAAUACGGGAGAGGAUCGUGGAAUUCCUGGUGUAGAGGUGAAAUUCGUAGAUAUCAGGAGGAACACUCGUGGCGAAGGCGACGGUCUGGACCGAUAUUGACGCUGAGACGCGAAAGCGUGGGUAGCAAACA
Molecule: ribosomal RNA, 209 nt
Filed under: uncultured bacterium
Lineage: Bacteria
Description: partial 16S ribosomal RNA
Rfam family: Bacterial small subunit ribosomal RNA
Source: RNAcentral